GUCCUAUAGAUUUAAUUUUAGGUCUGGCCUGCUCAAUGAUUUUAUUUAAUAGCCGCAGUAUAUUGACUGUGCAAAGGUAGCAUAAUCAUUUGUCUUUUAAUUGAAGGCUUGAAUGAAUGGUUGGACGUGAGAUUUACUUUCUUUAAUUAAUAUUUAUUUAAUUUAAUUUUUUAGUUAAAAAGCUAAAAUUUAUUUGUAAGACGAGAAGACCCUAUAGAAUUUUACUUUUAGUUUUAAAUUAAUUUUUAAUAUUUAUAAUUUAGUUUUAAAUUAAAAGUUUGGUUGGGGUGACUAUGAAAUUUACUUAACUUUCAUUUUUAAUUUUUCAUUAAUUUAUGUGUUUAAUGAUCCUAACUUUAAAUUUGGAUUUAAAGAUUAAAUUACCUUAGGGAUAACAGCGUAAUUCUUUUGGAGAGUUCAUAUCGAUGAAAUGAGUUUGCGACCUCGAUGUUGGAUUAAAGUUAUAGUUGGGUGUAGAAUUUCAACUUAUAGGUCUGUUCGACCUUUAAAUCUUUACA
This 518-nucleotide ribosomal RNA is filed under the name Germalus sp. WCW-2003e. Its description in RNAcentral is "partial 16S ribosomal RNA". It matches the Rfam family "Bacterial large subunit ribosomal RNA", at positions 1830 to 2600 of the family's 2925-position model. Lineage: Eukaryota; Metazoa; Arthropoda; Insecta; Hemiptera; Geocoridae. The record is from RNAcentral.